GGACUACUCGGGUUUCUAAUCCUGUUUGCUACCCACGCUUUCGCGCCUCAGCGUCAGUAUCUGUCCAGACAGUCGCCUUCGCCACUGGUGUUCCUUCCGAUCUCUACGCAUUUCACCGCUACACCGGAAAUUCCACUGUCCUCUACAGUACUCCAGCUCUGCAGUUUAAGAUGCCGUUCCCAGGUUAAGCCCAGGGAUUUCACAUCUCACUUGCAGAACCGCCUACGCGCCCUUUACGCCCAGUAACUCCGAUUAACGCUUGCACCCUCUGUAUUACCGCGGCUGCUGGCAC
Molecule: ribosomal RNA, 292 nt
Filed under: uncultured bacterium
Lineage: Bacteria
Description: partial 16S ribosomal RNA
Source: RNAcentral